GCUGAAAUGAAUAAAAAUGAAUCAUAAGAAUAUCUUGAACAGUCUGAGCUGUUUAAGGCAGAAACAAGGUGUGAACAGUAUGGCCUCUGCUGUAGCCUGUUUGUCAGAGGGUGUCUUGGGUUCAUAAUGUCUCUCCUCGGUCGGGACCACUUUCAUCCCCUAUAGAGCUGUGAUCUUCAUGUCACCGCUUUCCCGGAUACUCCUGAUUAACUCCUUCAUGUUCAGAAAAUGAAUGAACUGCCCAUCCCUGAUCCCUUUUCGAGCUUUUCUCCGGCUGGCGGGCUGUCGCAUCCUCUUCUUGCGCAGAGCUGCAUGGCAACGGGAGGAGGAGGCUGCUCGGGAUGAAGGAGGGUACCAGCGUCCCACGUGUCCUCCUCACCGCAGACCCAACGCAUUGCUCUUCGGUUUCCCAUCCCUUCGUUUCCGCAUACUGCAGAUUCGCAUAUACACACACAUACAACCUCAUCCAUACACCCAUACGCACCCGCGCAGGCUUGCGGAGCUAUGAUUCCGCGGUGCGCACUCUCCCGUUCCACACAAUUUCUUCACUGAUCACUCUCUAGGCCUGUAUCCAUCAUCUCCGACACAGGCCUGUCACUUAAUUUUUUCAUCAUUCUGAUAUGCAAAUCCAAAUUCUCUGUAGCAGUGUUGACCGGAGCUGAGAGGGCGAGUGAUAGAGAGGGGGAGAGAUGAGAGGAGGCACAUCGUCAGAUGUUUAGUAGAUUGAUUUUGGAUCCUCGCCAUCAUUUGUGCGAUUUUUUAGUCUUUUCCUCACUCCGUCUGCCGGGUUCGUGACAUCCUGCGGCUCUCCAUGCUGUAAUCCGGGGGAAUAUGUGAAGAUCAUGCUGGCGGUGUGGUGCUUCACGGUCUUUGCUGCAGUGGGCGAGAGGCUUGCAGUCUCAGGUGUUGACAGGAACCUGGAGCAGGAUGGAAGCAUGUGGGACUGGUUUGCCCCAGUGGGCCGGGCGGAUAGUGGGGACACUGCAACCGAGAUCAUUUAUCCAAAGCGCCUCGUACAGCAAAUCAAGUCGGAGGAAGAAAUGGCUCAUGACUACUUGGGUACCAGGGUGAAGAAUAGCACCGGGGACACCUUGCCUGUCCACUUGGCCCAGAGCUGUUUCCAAGUAGAAGCCUUUGGACGCACCUUCACUUUAGACCUGGAAUUAAAUCACCAUCUUCUGUCUUCAGAUUAUGUAGAACGGCACUUUAACCAGGAUGGCAGACCCUUUCAGUCUGUGGGAGGGGAACACUGCUACUAUCAGGGAAGGUUAAGAGGUUUACCAGAGUCCUGGGCAGCUGUCUCCACAUGCCAUGGCUUGUGUGGCAUGUUCUCUGAUGGCUUCUUCUCUUACGGUAUUGAGCCCUUUCACAAUGACAGCAAUCAGUAUGAUGGUGCUCACCUAAUACGCAGGAUGCCUGAUAUCAGACUUCCGGCCCAUUGUCCAGACUGUACAGAGGACAGUGAGUGGGAUGGCAGAGGAGGUGAUGAUGGUGAUGAUGAUGACAGACCGGACCAAGUGAGGGAGCAGCAGGCGUCUGGGGGUCUGCGACGGUCCAAGCGAAGUGUUCGCAAGCCCUCUGUGCAGACUGAGACCAAAUAUAUUGAGCUGAUGGUGGUCAAUGACAAUGAUAUGUUUGUACAGCUGCGUCGCUCAAGCAGCCAAACCAAGAACUUUGCCAAAGCUGUGGUCAACACGGCGGAUACGAUCUAUCAGGAACAGCUGAACACAAGGAUUGUACUGGUCGCCAUGGAGACCUGGACCUCUAAAAAUAUGAUGCCAGUAGUGGAAGACCCAUUGAUAACGCUGCAAAACUUCAUGAAGUACAGGAAGGACAACAUAAGAGAGCAGAGUGAUGUAGUCCAUCUUUUCUCAGGGCGUAACUUUCAUAGUAGCCGUAGUGGGACAGCCUACACAGGAGGGGUGUGCUCUCCAACAAGAGGAGGAGGAAUUAACGAGUAUGGAAAUGUAGGUGCGAUGGCCAUUACUUUGUGCCAGAGUCUUGGCCAGAACAUUGGGAUGAGGUGGAACAAUGCACGUAACUCUGCAGGAGACUGCAAAUGCCCAGAUGCCUGGGUGGGAUGCAUCAUGGAAGACACAGGAUUCCAUCUGCCCAGAAAGUUUUCUCGCUGCAGCGUUGACGAGUACAUCCAGUUCUUGCUCCAGGGAGGUGGCAGCUGCCUGUUCAACAAGCCCAACAAGCUCUUGGACCCUCCUGAGUGUGGGAAUGGGUUUGUGGAGCCAGGAGAAGAGUGUGAUUGUGGAUCCCAGCUGGAAUGUGCCCGUAGGGGAGGAGCCUGCUGUAAAAAGUGCACCCUUACCCAUGAUGCCAUGUGCAGUAAUGGACUCUGCUGCAGUGGCUGCAAGUAUGAGCAGAGAGGCGUGGUGUGUCGACAGGCUGUGAAUGACUGUGACAUCCCGGAAACUUGCACUGGAGACUCUAGCGAGUGCCCUCAUAAUGUCCACAAGCUAGAUGGAUACAUGUGUGAUAAUAGUCAGGGACGAUGUUACAGUGGACGAUGUAGGACUCGUGAUGGACAAUGCAAGGGACUCUGGGGCUAUAAUUCAGCAGACAGGUUUUGUUAUGAGAAGCUGAACGCUGAGGGGACAGAAAAAGGAAAUUGUGGCCCCGGUCCUGAUGGCCAAGGCUGGCUCCAGUGCAACAAGCCAGAUGUUUUAUGCGGGUUCCUUUUCUGUGCUAAUGUGACAAUGAAGCCAAAGUUUGGAGACCUCCAAGGUGAAGUGACCAGCUUCACCCUCUAUCACCAGAACAAGUACUUGGACUGCAGAGGUGGCCAUGCUCUGCUAGAGGACGGCUCAGACCUGGGCUAUGUGGAGGAUGGCACUCCAUGUGGUCCCAACAUGAUGUGUUUGGAGAGACGCUGCCUCCCUGUGGCUGCAUUCAACCUCAGCACAUGCCCAGGAUCCAACUUUGGACGCAUUUGUUCUGACCACGGGACCUGCAGUAAUGAAGUGAAGUGUAUCUGUGACAGGGACUACACCGGGAAGGACUGCAGUGUCUUCGAUCCCAUCCCUGAGCCCACGGUCGCAACAGGCCCAGAGAAGAAAGUCUGCCAAUGACACAGAGCAAUUGAGCAGCUGCUGCUCUUAUAGAGCCAAAAAAGCCAAAGCCACCCUGAGCAGGAGGGUGUCCAGCUGAAAGAGCAGGAGAGGUGGAAUGAGAACAAAGAACAUUCGAAGAGGAAGAUCUGGUGGAGGAUAAGAUCUGUCUGUCUUUCUGUCUCUGUGUCUUGUCCACUUCUGUCUUCCUCCUCGCACUGUGUCAUUUCACGUUGAAGAAGAGGGGAACAAAAAAAAAAGUCUUCCACUGCUGUCCCACAAUAUCUCCAAAACCUCUUCCGAGCAUCGUUUCCUCCACGAUCGCGUCUGCUCCUUUCGUCUGUCCUCCUGGGGCCUGUGGAGCUCCUCUCACCAUACCAGCCAAAUCAUACUCAUGUGGCUGCUUUCAGCAGGCCACUGAGGAUUACGUCCAGGCCACGCCUAGAGCAAGCAGGUGGCUCUCUCUGUGGGAGACACCGGCGUCUUCCUCCAGUCCAGUGGCUAUACGAAUGUGCUUUGGUGUCUGUGUACCUCUUCUCACGUCUCGGACAGUCUGAUCAAGAACAUAUCAACGGUGGACCAAAUGAGACACGUCUUUCCAAUGCCUGCCUGCACAUAAACUAACCCGGCCGUCACUUGAGUCCACAGGUAAAUGCUGGACUAGCACACAGACUGAAAUAACGUAACAGGGGCUGUAUUGUUUCCUUUUUUUCUUUAAGGAAACGGACCUAAGAUACAGUUCCUCCGAGGUCCAGACGUUGACAAGGUGCAUCUUAAAAUGGACAGAAAUUAGUUUUUAAUCUACAACAUUUGGCAACGUUGAGAUAACUUUAAAAAAAAGAACACUGGACUCUUGUUAGCAUGUUUUCCAAAGAAAGGCUGAGUAAGGACUGACUGAUCGUAGAAGCUGUUUGUUUUGGAUUGCAGUUUGAGUCUUAGCUUGAGGCAUCCUGCCUGCCCACCAAUCUCCCACACCCUCAAGUUUUCAGGUACAAAAAAAGGAAGCUAGGUGUUGUGGUUUUGGGAUCAUUAAAAAAAAUAUUAUAUAUAUGAAGCAGCAGAGACCGUAACUUAGUGUUUUCGAUGACAGACCGACCAACAUACAUUCCACAAUAUCUGUCUGUGCGUGUUCACCACUUUUGGGCCCAAAGUUUGUAGGCUUAGGAAGUUUACUAUGUCUGUCUGCUCAGGAGUGAAUGUAUGGGUGUAAGAGGUUUUUAAAGAAAGUAAGAAUGUGUGUGUUUACAUUAAUGUUAUGGGGCAGUUGUGUCUGUGUACACCUGAACAUUCCUCCCAUCACUGGUUUUUACCUCUAGCAGAUCAUCUCUUUCUACAACCUGUUGUGCGCUGCAGCCACGCACCCUAAAGGCAGCACAGAAAGAAUUCAACAUGUCAUGUAUCCACAAAAAAAAUGAGCACUAGCCAACUGUAUGCACACCUAUUUGUAAAUAUGUGCAAGAUAUACUGAAUGUUAAAUGCAAUGUAUGAAGAUUUAUUUAAAACUAUGCUUAAAAAAUAAUUUAUCUGUUUGAGCAAACUUAUAGCUAUCCAUCUCCUGACACGCCCUGCCUCUGCAAAUCUCUCCUGUAGACAAAGCUGUCCAUGCAUCUUUAAAUGUGGCCAAAAAAAAAAAAAAGAAGCUAAGCUUGCCAUCUCAUCAUCUCUCUUGUCAUUCUAACUAUCACUGAAAUGAAAUGCCAUGAGUCUUUUGUACAUUUGUUGAUAGCCCUGAGCCCUGGGUGAACGCCUCAGCCCAGAAACUUUGUAAAUGAGAUUAAAGAGAUCUGGUUCGGGGUCCAGAAUGCAGCUUGUCUGAUAGCGUAUGUGGUCAGUUUGGUUUGUUUUGAGCUUUGCACUAUGGCUGAUGCACUAUUGUUAUUAAUACAAUAUGUACAGAGUGGAUAUCAAAUGCAAUCGGGAAGAAGAAGGAAGAAAAUGAGAUGCGUCUUACCCCAUAUUUUUAGAGACUAUCUUUUUUGAAAUUAAUCAAUGAAAAGGAAUGAAAUCAAGACUGCCAAUGGAUUAAAAUGAAGGGAAAAUAAAAUAUUAAAACACGAAGCCACACCUCUUACUCUCGCAUGUCACUGCCUGUGUCUGUUGGUAUUUCACAGCUUUAAUCGAUGGUUAGACUUUCU
Molecule: RNA transcript, 5194 nt
Organism: Pelmatolapia mariae (spotted tilapia)
Lineage: Eukaryota; Metazoa; Chordata; Actinopteri; Cichliformes; Cichlidae
Gene name: disintegrin and metalloproteinase domain-containing protein 11-like
Exons: 26
Source: RefSeq, a predicted model, not a curated record